ACAAGCUCUCCAUUUGGGAGCAGCUGGGAGCUACCCUCAUUUUCGCUAGGAGUUAGUCUCCCUUGUGGGCAUACCACGGGAAUGCCUUCAUGCCUGCUACUGGUUUUGGUCUGGGGGCAAUCAGCUCUGCUUACCCACCUCUCUGCUUGAGCAUUACUGGGCUACAUAGCUUCCAGGAGUUGUCACCAGCCCAACAGGGCAGGGAGGGCUGGAAAGCAUCCCCGACAGUGGCUGUGGUUGUGGUUUAGCACCUUGCCUGCGUGUGCGCAAACUGAGCUCUAGGACUGGCAAACCUUCUCAUUUAAGGAUGUGAGUCAAGGAGAUCUGCAUCCCUGCAAGUUCUUUGGUGCUUCUUCCGUUUGGUUCUGCAGAUGAACAAAACUGCUGGUUGGGAUUACUUCUUGGACACUGCAGACAUUGUUUCCAUCAGAUAGAUAACCCAGAGAGGACACCACAAAUCACAGAUCCAACUGAGAAUAAAACUUUGUGAUGCAACUUUGAGAGAGAGACAGAGCAUGAACGGGGGAAGGUCAGAGAGAGGGAGAC
Long non-coding RNA from Herpailurus yagouaroundi (jaguarundi), 546 nucleotides. RefSeq lists it as uncharacterized. The transcript is spliced from 3 exons. The record is from RefSeq and is a predicted model, not a curated record. NCBI's taxonomy places the organism in Eukaryota, Metazoa, Chordata, Mammalia, Carnivora, Felidae.